This 250-nucleotide ribosomal RNA is filed under the name uncultured bacterium. RNAcentral describes it as "partial 16S ribosomal RNA". It matches the Rfam family "Bacterial small subunit ribosomal RNA", at positions 524 to 773 of the family's 1533-position model. The record is from RNAcentral.
UACGGAGGAUCCAAGCGUUAUCCGGAUUUAUUGGGUUUAAAGGGUGCGUAGGCGGACUUUUAAGUCAGUGGUGAAAGUUUGCGGCUCAACCGUAAAAUUGCCAUUGAAACUGAAGGUCUUGAGUGUAAAUGAGGUAGGCGGAAUGUGUUGUGUAGCGGUGAAAUGCUUAGAUAUAACACAGAACACCAAUUGCGAAGGCAGCUUACUGGGAUACAACUGACGCUGAGGCACGAAAGCGUGGGGAUCAAAC